Molecule: ribosomal RNA, 206 nt
Filed under: uncultured bacterium
Lineage: Bacteria
Description: partial 16S ribosomal RNA
Rfam family: Bacterial small subunit ribosomal RNA
Source: RNAcentral
CGCGUAGGCGGGUGCUCAAGUCCGGGGUGAAAUCCUCCAGCUCAACUGGAGAACUGCCUCGGAUACUGGGUGUCUCGAGGGUGGUAGGGGUAUGCGGAACUAUCGGUGGAGCGGUGAAAUGCGUUGAUAUCGAUAGGAACUCCGGUGGCGAAGGCGGCAUACUGGACCACCUCUGACGCUGAGGCGCGAAAGCCAGGGAGCAAACG